Oryctolagus cuniculus (rabbit) is the source of this 163-nucleotide small nuclear RNA. Its record names the gene U1. It matches the Rfam family "U1 spliceosomal RNA". Rfam says of the family: U1 is a small nuclear RNA (snRNA) component of the spliceosome (involved in pre-mRNA splicing). Its 5' end forms complementary base pairs with the 5' splice junction, thus defining the 5' donor site of an intron. The record is from Ensembl. NCBI's taxonomy places the organism in Eukaryota, Metazoa, Chordata, Mammalia, Lagomorpha, Leporidae.
CUACUUAGCUGGCAGGGGAGACACCAUGACCACGCAGGUGGUUUUCCCAGGGCGAGGCUCAUCCAUUGCACCCUGGCUGUGCUGACCCCUGCGGUUUCCCCAAAUGUGGAAAACUUGACUGCAUAAUUUGUGGUACUAGGGGACUCGUUCACGCUUUCCCCUG